Molecule: small RNA, 939 nt
Filed under: Pongo abelii (Sumatran orangutan)
Lineage: Eukaryota; Metazoa; Chordata; Mammalia; Primates; Hominidae
Description: retained intron
Source: RNAcentral
GCCGACGUACACUUCGUCGUGGGGCCCCCGGGGGCGACCAGGACGGUGCCUGCCCACAAGGUGGGUAGCGGCGGCCCCUCUCGGAACGCGUGCCCCGCCCGCCGUGUGGCUGACCCGCAGCCUGCGGGAGAGCCAGGCUCAUGGCGGCGCUUUCUCCUCCCAGUACGUCCUGGCUGUCGGCAGCUCGGUCUUCUAUGCCAUGUUCUACGGAGACCUGGCGGAAGUCAAAUCUGAAAUUCACAUUCCAGACGUGGAGCCCGCAGCCUUUCUGAUCCUGUUAAAGUACAUGUACAGUGAUGAGAUCGAUCUGGAAGCUGACACGGUGCUGGCCACUCUGUACGCUGCUAAGAAGUACAUUGUCCCAGCAUUGGCAAAAGCCUGUGUCAACUUUCUGGAGACAAGUUUGGAAGCCAAGAACGCCUGCGUCCUGCUGUCCCAGAGCCGGCUGUUUGAGGAGCCCGAGCUGACGCAGCGCUGCUGGGAGGUCAUUGAUGCACAGGCCGAGAUGGCCCUACGGUCCGAAGGCUUCUGUGAGAUAGACCGGCAGACGCUGGAGAUCAUUGUCACUAGGGAGGCCCUCAACACCAAGGAGGCGGUGGUCUUCGAGGCUGUCCUGAACUGGGCCGAGGCGGAGUGCAAGAGGCAGGGCCUGCCAGUCACCCCACGAAACAAGAGGCAUGUUUUGGGGCGAGCCCUUUAUCUGGUCCGAAUUCCAACCAUGACCCUGGAGGAGUUUGCCAACGGCGCUGCCCAGUCAGACAUCCUGACUCUGGAGGAGACCCACAGCAUCUUCCUGUGGUACACGGCCACCAACAAGCCCCGUCUGGACUUCCCCCUGACCAAGAGGAAGGGCCUCGCCCCGCAGAGGUGCCACCGAUUCCAGUCUUCUGCCUACCGCAGCAACCAGUGGCGGUACCGCGGGCGCUGCGACAGCAUCCA